AAACUGCGAUAAUUAAUGUGAAUUGCAGAAUUCUGUGAAUCAUCAAGACCUUGAACGCAAACUGCGCCUACGGGUCCACCUGUAGGCACGCUUGUUUGAGUGUCGAUUCAUUCACUAUCCCUUUAUUAUUCCUAUUUUUUUUUAAGUGGGUAAUAAUAAAGGGGAAUUGGAGGUGUGGUUUUUCCUCUUUUUUUUUUAAAAAAAAAGAGGGGGGGACCACUCCUUUUAAGUUCAUCUUCGGACUUUGCUUUUCAAAAAAACGAAUCAGUUUCAGCAAAGAGGUCCAGCCAGUAGGUACCAAUACGUUGGUUUAUCGAAAACUCACAUCUCUCUUGUCUAAAUUUGACAUUCGUUUUUGAAGCAAUAUAAAUCAAGUUCGAAUAAAAGGAAAGAAUCAAAACAACCGAUCAUUUCUCAACAAUUCGACCUCAAAUCAAGUGGGAUUACCCGCUGAAUUUAAGC
RNAcentral lists this unclassified non-coding RNA (462 nucleotides) under plant metagenome. Its description in RNAcentral is "partial contains internal transcribed spacer 2 and large subunit ribosomal RNA". The stretch from base 1 to 105 matches the Rfam family "5.8S ribosomal RNA", at positions 50 to 154 of the family's 154-position model. The record is from RNAcentral.